GUUGGUGAGGUAAUGGCUUACCAAGGCUAUGAUCUAUAGCUGGUCUGAGAGGACGAUCAGCCACACUGGAACUGAGAUACGGUCCAGACUCCUACGGGAGGCAGCAGUGGGGAAUAUUGGACAAUGGGCGAAAGCCUGAUCCAGCUAUGCCGCGUGAGUGAAGAAGGCCUUCGGGUUGUAAAACUCUUUCAAUAGGGAAGAUAAUGACGGUACCUAUAGAAGAAGUCCCGGCAAACUCUGUGCCAGCAGCCGCGGUAAUACGGAGGGGGCAAGCGUUGUUCGGAAUUAUUGGGCGUAAAGGGCACGUAGGUGGACUAGUAAGUUAAAAGUGAAAUACCAAAGCUUAACUUUGGAGCGGCUUUUAAUACU
This 369-nucleotide ribosomal RNA is filed under the name Ehrlichia canis. RNAcentral's name for it is "bacterial SSU rRNA". It matches the Rfam family "Bacterial small subunit ribosomal RNA", at positions 248 to 634 of the family's 1533-position model. The record is from RNAcentral. Lineage: Bacteria; Pseudomonadati; Pseudomonadota; Alphaproteobacteria; Rickettsiales; Anaplasmataceae.